RNAcentral lists this ribosomal RNA (958 nucleotides) under Hamineobulla kawamurai. Its description in RNAcentral is "SSU rRNA". It matches the Rfam family "Eukaryotic small subunit ribosomal RNA", at positions 25 to 954 of the family's 1831-position model. Lineage: Eukaryota; Metazoa; Mollusca; Gastropoda; Cephalaspidea; Scaphandridae. The record is from RNAcentral.
CAUAUGCUUGUCUCAAAGAUUAAGCCAUGCAUGUCUAAGUUCACACUGUUUCACGGUGAAACCGCGAAUGGCUCAUUAAAUCAGUCGAGGUUCCUUAGAUGACACGAUCCUACUUGGAUAACUGUGGCAAUUCUAGAGCUAAUACAUGCCUAUGAAGCUCCGACCCUCGUGGAAAGAGCGCUUUUAUUAGUUCAAAACCAAUCGCCGGUCGUCUUCGGGCGGCCGACGUCCCCACUGGUGACUCUGGAUAACUUUGUGCUGAUCGCAUGGCCUUCGUGCCGGCGACACAUCUUUCAAAUGUCUGCCCUAUCAAAUGUCGAUGGUACGUGAUAUGCCUACCAUGUUUGUAACGGGUAACGGGGAAUCAGGGUUCGAUUCCGGAGAGGGAGCAUGAGAAACGGCUACCACAUCCAAGGAAGGCAGCAGGCGCGCAACUUACCCACUCCCGGCACGGGGAGGUAGUGACGAAAAAUAACAAUACGGGACUCUCUACGAGGCCCCGUAAUUGGAAUGAGUACACUUUAAACCCUUUAACGAGGAUCUAUUGGAGGGCAAGUCUGGUGCCAGCAGCCGCGGUAAUUCCAGCUCCAAUAGCGUAUAUUAAAGUUGUUGCAGUUAAAAAGCUCGUAGUUGGAUCUCAGGUGCAGGCGGACGGUCCGGCUCGCGCCGGUUCACUGUCCGUAUUUCCUGCCCUACUGGUUUGCCGGCUCUCUCCCGUGGGUGCUCUUCGCUGAGCGUCCCGGGUGGCCGGCGCGUUUACUUUGAAAAAAUUAGAGUGUUCAAAGCAGGCCUCGGAGCCUGAAUAAUGGUGCAUGGAAUAAUGGAAUAGGACCUCGGUUCUAUUUUGUUGGUUUUCGGAACUGGAGGUAAUGAUUAACAGGGACAAACGGGGGCAUUCGUAUGCGGCGUUAGAGGUGAAAUUCUUGGAUCGCCGCAAGACGAGCUACUGCGAAAGCAU